UACGAAGGGGGCUAGCGUUGUUCGGAAUCACUGGGCGUAAAGCGCACGUAGGCGGACUCUUAAGUCGGUGGUGAAAUCCUGGAGCUCAACUCCAGAACUGCCUUCGAUACUGGGAGUCUUGAGUCCGGGAGAGGUGAGUGGAACUGCGAGUGUAGAGGUGAAAUUCGUAGAUAUUCGCAAGAACACCAGUGGCGAAGGCGGCUCACUGGCCCGGUACUGACGCUGAGGUGCGAAAGCGUGGGGAGCAAACAGG
RNAcentral lists this ribosomal RNA (253 nucleotides) under uncultured bacterium. RNAcentral's name for it is "partial 16S ribosomal RNA". It matches the Rfam family "Bacterial small subunit ribosomal RNA", at positions 524 to 776 of the family's 1533-position model. The record is from RNAcentral.